UACGAAGGGGGCUAGCGUUGCUCGGAAUCACUGGGCGUAAAGGGUGCGUAGGCGGGUCUUUAAGUCAGGGGUGAAAUCCUGGAGCUCAACUCCAGAACUGCCUUUGAUACUGAGGAUCUUGAGUAUGGGAGAGGUGAGUGGAACUGCGAGUGUAGAGGUGAAAUUCAUAGAUAUUCGCAAGAACACCAGUGGCGAAGGCGGCUCACUGGCCCAUUACUGACGCUGAGGCACGAAAGCGUGGGGAGCAAACAGG
RNAcentral lists this ribosomal RNA (253 nucleotides) under uncultured bacterium. RNAcentral's name for it is "partial 16S ribosomal RNA". It matches the Rfam family "Bacterial small subunit ribosomal RNA", at positions 524 to 776 of the family's 1533-position model. The record is from RNAcentral.